AACUUCUGGAUCAUAUACUGUUUACAUUUGUGAGGGGUGGAUUCUUCUUUCGAGCCAAUUAAGUAAACGGCCUAAAUAUAGAUUAAGGAGACGAUAUUGCUAUAAUAUUUUAUAUUUUGAAGAAUUGGUUGUGUUCAUCCUUCUCAUACUCAGCAUUUGUUUCUUCUCGGUUGCGUUUGCAUUUCGUGAUAUAGUUACAUUUCAUGCAGGUUGAAGAAUGGAAUCUCCAAGUUUUGUGUUUCAAAAAACCGAAGAAGGAAAAGGAGUCAAGCAGAUAUUUUUAUCUACUUAAGAUAUUAGAAAACUCUGUAAUUUUUUCUAACUUUUAUAACUCUAUCCAUUUUGAGAGCAAAUAUUUAGAGCAUUUAUUAUUUUGGAAGAAGAUCAAAGGACAAAGUAAGAGAAGAAGCAAAAGAGGAAACUUGCAUCAAUCUAUGGAGAAUGUAGAAGAAAGAAGAGCAUCAUUGACACUUAAGCAUGCAUAUCUAAGUACUCUAUUUCAAGUAUUUUUACUGACUGAGUGUGACAUGGAGAAGGAAUUAUAAAUAUUAAUAAAUACAAUAAUGAUUUAUUUGUGGAAAAAUAUUUUAUGUGUAGAAUAUUUUAAUAUUAAUCAUUAAA
This 621-nucleotide long non-coding RNA is filed under the name Lotus japonicus. Its description in RNAcentral is "long non-coding RNA (LJAP_LNC000606)". Lineage: Eukaryota; Viridiplantae; Streptophyta; Magnoliopsida; Fabales; Fabaceae. The record is from RNAcentral.